RNAcentral lists this ribosomal RNA (371 nucleotides) under uncultured soil bacterium. RNAcentral describes it as "bacterial SSU rRNA". It matches the Rfam family "Bacterial small subunit ribosomal RNA", at positions 27 to 424 of the family's 1533-position model. The record is from RNAcentral.
GGAACGAACGCUGGCGGCAUGCCUAAUACAUGCAAGUCGAACGAACACUUCGGUGUUAGUGGCGCACGGGUGCGUAACGCGUGGGAAUCUGCCCUUGGGUUCGGAAUAACAGUUGGAAACGACUGCUAAUACCGGAUGAUAUCGAAAGAUCAAAGAUUUAUCGCCCAGGGAUGAGCCCGCGUAGGAUUAGCUAGUUGGUGAGGUAAAGGCUCACCAAGGCGACGAUCCUUAGCUGGUCUGAGAGGAUGAUCAGCCACACUGGGACUGAGACACGGCCCAGACUCCUACGGGAGGCAGCAGUAGGGAAUAUUGGACAAUGGGCGCAAGCCUGAUCCAGCAAUGCCGCGUGAGUGAUGAAGGCCGUUAGGGUU